Molecule: long non-coding RNA, 2653 nt
Organism: Triticum aestivum (bread wheat)
Lineage: Eukaryota; Viridiplantae; Streptophyta; Magnoliopsida; Poales; Poaceae
Exons: 6
Source: RefSeq, a predicted model, not a curated record
CUUGAGCUCUUGCUGAUGCAGAGUGCCUUCAUCUUUUGCUGCCAUUGUUUUGUUGCAGGCAGACUUUUAAAGGUGAUAUCUUGAGGACCCUAUGAAAGAUACAUGACACCAGAUAUGAACACACAGUUUUGAUCAAGUAGAUAGGAUGCAUUUCAUUUGCAUAUUAUCUACAUACCCUUGCUGUUCCUGCAUGCUUGAUGUAGUCAGCAAUGGCAAGCUGAAGAUCAUCUGCUUCCACCUCAUGUUCUUUGAAGGUUGGGGGGCCAACCCUUGAGUUGUUGAUUCUAUGUACGUUGAGUACGAUUUUCCUCAGCAGGUUUGUGGAGGCAUCCUAAAGAAUGGAGAAAAAAGUCAGGAGUGACGGUGAAACGAAGGAAAUUCUGAUGCAACCAAAAGUAUAUGAGUGAUGAGUCUCAAAAGGUACUUACCGGAGAGCACAUGAUUGUUUCAUCUAAAACAUUGUAAGCGCGGAGGCAGUUUGGUGGAACAGGGAGAUUGCUCAUCACAAAUCCAUCCUGAAGAAUAUAUCCCUUAGCAGCAAUCUGCCUUCUUGUUUUUUCAGAGAUCUUCUCCAUUAUUUUCUGAACCUAAGAAACAGAAGAACAAAAUGGUGGCUUUUGCCACAAGAGCAACAAGUCUCUGUCUAGUACUAGUACCUCUUCUGCGAAUAAACGACGGCAGUGAGAGCUGCCCUUCGUGUGAAAGCCAAAUUGAUCGAGGAAGCUCCAAAAUCCCUCUUCCAGUUCUUUCCUGGAUGGCACUCUCAGCUCCAAGGUAAGGGCUCCAUUGGAUUUCUUGACUUUUGCAACAUGGAUUGGUGGGAGAUCCUGGAAGAAGAUGAAUGCAGAAUUCGACAAAGGAAAUAAUAGUGGCUGGUUAGUUAGAGGGAUUAAGGGAAAAAAUACUCCAAAUAAAAAAUUUGAACCAUGGCAAGACAUAAUUAAUUGGUGCUUGUACUGUACAUAUGGCAUGCUCCUCAGAAACUAAAACCAGAAACUAACACUAGCCACCAAUAACUUAACUAAUAGUCUUAAUUUAAAUUUGAAAUUUGAGUGGAGAUUUGUACUGUUUGAGGGUUGGGUAAUGUGGUGGAAUUUAGCCAUAACAGACGUCUAGGCUACUGCACAAUGUGUGUUAAAUAAAGCAUGGCAUUUGCUUCCUUUGGAGAUAAUUGAUAUUUUAGUUGCUGCAUGCAUUUUAAACUCUGCACCUGUUGCUUUUGAAUUGGAUCAUACAUCUUUCUGGGAAGAUCCAAAUUUCAAAUUUCAGCACCUGUUAUGCUAGUGUCACUUCCAAAUUUCAGCUCAUCGUCUUCUCUGACUGCUCUAGUGUUUAAGCUGAACUACCUGCACUUGUUUUGUAUUUAGCUGCUUAACGCUAUCUCUGCAGCAGCAACUUUUUGGAAAAAAAAUUUCAUCAUCGACGAUUCAGUUACGAUCUAUCUAGCAGUAGAUUCGGCUACCUUGAGAUUUUCUCGGAGAAUUAGAGGAAAAAAAAGCUACAUAUGAAUGUGCAUAUUAUGCAUACCAACCUGACCCUACUAAUGCAACUUAAAGGAGACUUGAACAGUUUGAUCUCCUUCAUCAGUUAUCACUUAAUUACCUGACAGUAUGAACAUGAGGUGAAGUUGCUCUCCUUUUCCACACUUUUCUGUUUCUGUUGCAAAGUACAGAAAUUCCAUGUUAAUGCUAGCCACUACAUCACUGAUCAUAGUAUGCUUGGGCAGGGUUUAAUUUCUGCAUGUACCUUGCAGUUCUUGAACUGGAGGCAGCUGAAGCAGAUCAUGUUGAGUAUCUUCGUCAGCUCGGUGAUAUGGCUUGGGUGGUAGACGGACACGGGCAGCUUGAUGAACCCGAAAUGACCUUCAGCCAGCCAUGAGAAGACGAGUUUUGUCAGAAAAUAAUAAAUGAAGGCGGGCAGAAUCAAUGUCAUUACAACAAUCUCUUUGUCAGCUCAGUUCAGGAACACACUAUAAAUCAGUCGAGAUAAAUGCUGCGGCAUUGACUUUUAUCAACAAUGUCUUUGACAGUGUACAACAGUAAACUGAACGGCCAGGUGGAAUGAGAUGCUGUUAUUUCAGCCGAGUUUUUUGAGUAUUGCCGAAAGCUUAGGAACAGGAGAUACCUAUCCUAUCAGUUGAGACAAAUGCUGACGCAGAACUGAUUUUAGCAAGAAUACUCUGACAAUGUAUAAUACUCAAGUGAGUAGUCAGAUCAGCUGUUAUCAUAUCAAACUAUUUGUGUUUCAACAGAGUGAUCUUGCCUACUGUAGGAUUAUCACACACUGAACUAGGCAGCUAGCUAGCCCACUAAGAAGUUUUAUCUGCAUGUUUGUAGACGUGAAGUGGCACUAUUCAUCGCUAAAUUAAAGGGGCACACCACUGUUGGUAGAAACCUAGAAAAUCAGGUAUAAAACAGAGAGGAGCCAGUGAGUCACCUUCACACUUGGCGAGGUCGGUGGCGCCGCAGGAGUCGCAGUGGCCGAGCUGCAGCGGCAGGCCCAGCGCCGGGUUCCCGGCCAGCUGGCUCGGGUGCGUCACCGGGAACUCCUCCUUCAUCGGCUGCGCCUUCACCUGCAAUGCAUGCGACCAUCAAUGUGGUUAGUUAAUCACCUGCUGUUCUGCUAUGAAGAAGGAGGGGGAGGAGACGACGAA